Molecule: ribosomal RNA, 489 nt
Filed under: uncultured bacterium
Lineage: Bacteria
Description: partial 16S ribosomal RNA
Rfam family: Bacterial small subunit ribosomal RNA
Source: RNAcentral
UGGGGAAUAUUGCACAAUGGGCGAAAGCCUGAUGCAGCGACGCCGCGUGAGGGAUGACGGCCUUCGGGUUGUAAACCUCUUUCAGCAGGGAAGAAGCGAAAGUGACGGUACCUGCAGAAGAAGCGCCGGCUAACUACGUGCCAGCAGCCGCGGUAAUACGUAGGGCGCAAGCGUUGUCCGGAAUUAUUGGGCGUAAAGAGCUCGUAGGCGGUUAGUCGCGUCUGCUGUGAAAACUCGAGGCUCAACCUCGGGCUUGCAGUGGGUACGGGCUGACUAGAGUGCGGUAGGGGUGACUGGAAUUCCUGGUGUAGCGGUGGAAUGCGCAGAUAUCAGGAGGAACACCGAUGGCGAAGGCAGGUCACUGGGCCGCAACUGACGCUGAGGAGCGAAAAGCAUGGGGAGCGAAACAGGAUUAGAUACUCUGGUAGUCCAUGCCGUAAACGUUGGGCACUAGGUGUGGGGUCCAUUCCACGGAUUCCGUGCCGCAGC